GAUGAACGCUGGCGGCGUGCCUAAUACAUGCAAGUCGAGCGAACAGACGAGGAGCUUGCUCCUCUGACGUUAGCGGCGGACGGGUGAGUAACACGUGGAUAACCUACCUAUAAGACUGGGAUAACUUCGGGAAACCGGAGCUAAUACCGGAUAAUAUAUUGAACCGCAUGGUUCAAUAGUGAAAGACGGUUUUGCUGUCACUUAUAGAUGGAUCCGCGCCGCAUUAGCUAGUUGGUAAGGUAACGGCUUACCAAGGCGACGAUGCGUAGCCGACCUGGGAGGGGAGUCUGCAACGCCGGAACUGGAACGCGGCCCAGACUACAACGGGACGCAGCGGAGGGGAAGCUUCCGCAAGGGGAGGAAGCCUGACGGGACAACGCCGCGUGAGGUAUGAGGAGCUUCGGAUCGGAAUACACUGUUAUGAGGGAAGAACAAAUGGGUAGGUAGCGAAUCACUACUUGACGGUACCUAAUCAGAAAGCCACGGCUAACUACGUG
RNAcentral lists this ribosomal RNA (497 nucleotides) under uncultured bacterium. RNAcentral describes it as "partial 16S ribosomal RNA". It matches the Rfam family "Bacterial small subunit ribosomal RNA", at positions 28 to 507 of the family's 1533-position model. The record is from RNAcentral.